This 458-nucleotide ribosomal RNA is filed under the name uncultured bacterium. RNAcentral describes it as "partial 16S ribosomal RNA". It matches the Rfam family "Bacterial small subunit ribosomal RNA", at positions 338 to 795 of the family's 1533-position model. The record is from RNAcentral.
CCUACGGGUGGCAGCAGUGAGGAAUAUUGGUCAAUGGGCGAGAGCCUGAACCAGCCAAGUCGCGUGAGGGAGUACUGCCCUAUGGGUUGUAAACCUCUUUUGUCGGGGAGCAAAAGCCGGACGUGUCCUGCUGUGAGAGUACCCGAAGAAAAAGCAUCGGCUAACUCCGUGCCAGCAGCCGCGGUAAUACGGAGGAUGCGAGCGUUAUCCGGAUUUAUUGGGUUUAAAGGGUGCGCAGGCGGAUUUUUAAGUCAGCGGUAAAAUCGUGGGGCUCAACCCCAUCCAGCCGUUGAAACUGGGGAUCUAGAGUGUGCGAGAGGUAUGCGGAAUGCGUGGUGUAGCGGUGAAAUGCAUAGAUAUCACGCAGAACCCCGAUUGCGAAGGCAGCAUACCGGUGCACAACUGACGCUCAGGCACGAAAGCGUGGGUAUCGAACAGGAUUAGAUACCCCAGUAGUC